RNAcentral lists this ribosomal RNA (654 nucleotides) under uncultured Alphaproteobacteria bacterium. RNAcentral's name for it is "SSU rRNA". It matches the Rfam family "Bacterial small subunit ribosomal RNA", at positions 246 to 915 of the family's 1533-position model. Lineage: Bacteria; Pseudomonadati; Pseudomonadota; Alphaproteobacteria. The record is from RNAcentral.
UAGUUGGUGAGGUAACGGCCCACCAAGGCACCGAUCGGUAGCUGGUUUGAGAGAACGACCAGCCACACUGGGACUGAGACACGGCCCAGACUCCUACGGGAGGCAGCAGUAGGGAAUCUUGGACAAUGGGGGAAACCCUGAUCCAGCCAUGCCGCGUGAGUGAUGAAGGCCUUCGGGUUGUAAAACUCUUUCGGCGGGGACGAUAAUGACGGUACCCGCAGAAGAAGCUCCGGCUAACUUCGUGCCAGCAGCCGCGGUAAUACGAAGGGGGCUAGCGUUGUUCGGAAUUACUGGGCGUAAAGCGCGCGCAGGCGGCCUUUCAAGUCAGGGGUGAAAGCCCGGAGCUCAACUCCGGAAUUGCCUUUGAAACUGUCAGGCUCGAGUACGGGAGAGGUGAGUGGAAUUCCCAGUGUAGAGGUGAAAUGCGCAGAUAUCAGGAGGAACACCGGUGGCGAAGGCGGGUCUCUGGGCCGAUACUGACGCUGAGGAGCGAAAGCGUGGGGAGCGAACAGGAUUAGAUACCCUGGUAGUCCACGCUGUAAACGUUGGGCGCUAGGUGUGGGGGGCCUCUCCGGUUCUCUGUGCCGCAGCUAACGCAUUAAGCGCCCCGCCUGGGGAGUACGGCCGCAAGGCUAAAACUCAAAGGAAUUGACG